RNAcentral lists this ribosomal RNA (707 nucleotides) under uncultured bacterium. Its description in RNAcentral is "bacterial SSU rRNA". It matches the Rfam family "Bacterial small subunit ribosomal RNA", at positions 95 to 815 of the family's 1533-position model. The record is from RNAcentral.
GUGGCGGACGGGUGAGUAACGAGUGAGAACGUACCCUCUAGUGAGGAAUAACCCACCGAAAGGUGGGCUAAUACCGCAUGAGACCGCAAGGUGAAAGGGUGUAACUACCCGCUAGAGGAGCGGCUCGCUUCCCAUCAGCUUGUUGGUAGGGUAAUGGCCUACCAAGGCUACGACGGGUAGCUGGACUGAGAGGUUGACCAGCCACAAGAGCACUGAGACACGGGCUCUACUCCUACGGGAGGCAGCAACCGGGAAUCGUAGACAAUGGGCGAAAGCCUGAUCUCGCGACGCCGCGUGGAGGAUGAAGGCCUUCGGGUCGUAAACUCCUUUUAUAAGGGAAUAAGUUCCGAUUUAUCGGAAUUGACUGUACCUUAUGAAUAAGCCGCUGCUAACUACGUGCCAGCAGCCGCGGUGAAACGUAGGCGGCAAGCGUUACCCGGAAUUACUGGGCGUAAAGAGUGCGCAGGUGGUAAGGUAAGUUUUCGUUAAAAUACACAGGCUUAACCUGUGGACCGCGGAGAUACUGCCUCACUUCGAGUAAGUCAGGGGGUACCGGAACAGAUGGUGUAGUAGUGAAAUGCGUUGAUAUCAUCUGGAACACCCAAGGCGAAGGCAGGUACCUGGGGCUUUUCUGACACUGAUGCACGAAAGCGUGGGGAGCGAACGGGAUUAGAUACCCCGGUAGUCCACGCCGUAAACGAUGGACA